Molecule: unclassified non-coding RNA, 213 nt
Filed under: plant metagenome
Description: partial contains small subunit ribosomal RNA, internal transcribed spacer 1, and 5.8S ribosomal RNA
Source: RNAcentral
UUUCCGUAGGUGAACCUGCGGAAGGAUCAUUAAAAAUGAAGCCGGGAAACCGGUCCUUCUCACCCUUGAUUAUCUCAAUUUGUUGCUUUGGUGGGCCGCGCAAGCACCGGCUUCGGCUGGAUCGUGCCCGCCAGAGGACCACAACUCUGUAUUAUAUGUCGUCUGAGUACUAUAAAAUAGUUAAAACUUUCAACAACGGAUCCCUUGGUUCUG